GCAGACCGUAACUCUAGUUCUCCCCUAGGCUUCACACAAAAAACUCGAAAAUCCUUUGUGUCAGGACCGACGAGACUCCCACGUUACUGUACGAGACGAUAUCCCAACUGUCUGUCGCUGUCUCGGCUCAUAUUUUCGGUUCAUGCCGGACUUCAGCGAGAAGGCUGUGAGCAUCUCCUGCUGCGGUGCAGUGAGGGUGGGGACGGGGCUGGAAGAUGGAGUUGGAGCGGGAGCGACGAAGGCUCUGCGGAUCUCCUCUGUUGUUGCCAUCCUGAUGAAAAGCUGGUCGUUCACGAUGCACAGACUGGCACAGGAGGAACACAGACGAUCAGAUUUGACUGUUUCAGGGAAAAUGUGAAUGACAACAAAGAUAUAAUAAGAACCAACCAAACUUACCCGGUACUUCCCGCUGGGACUGUAAUGAAAACUCGAGAGAAGGCCAUGGUGGACUCUCGGGAUUUACCAUCAACAGCAACUGAAAAACAGACAUGACACUAAUUAGGUAACAGAAUCAACAACACUCAACUUUGCAGUGUUUAAAUACAUGUCGACGUACAAAACUCACCUUCUUUAAAGACUCCGCUCACUGUGAAUGAUAGCAGUGUGUUCUGUAAACAGAAAACAUUUUUGCUGAAUGAAUACAGAGAAAUGAUCCCCAGUGAGACGAGAAGGCUAAUGAUGAGCUGGCUGACAAAAUAAACUCACGGUGUAGGUGUUUACAUCGACAUUAAGGGAGGCAAUGUCGUGCUGAGUUUUGGGCAACUCGUUGAGGAAAGCCACAACGUUUAGUCGUGUGUGCUUCAGAAGUCGAAAACGUAUGGCUAGGGGAGGAAAAAUUCAGAGAAGAACAUAUAAGAAAAAAUCUCAAAUCACAAAAAUGUGCACUCAAUGAUUCAGACGGUGUGAAAGGUCAACAGCUCGAAAUGGGAAACUCACUGGAAUCUUUGAGCCUCUUCAGGUUUCGGCUGUCUUUAUGAUACUCUCCCAGACUGCUCCUAGAACCAGAAGUCAGGGACAGAUUGAAUCAAUGUGAACAUAGCAGGGACUCGGAUCAGGGCAGGCAGUGAUGGGUGGAGCUACAUACACAAAUCUUUAAAAUUAAUUACUUAAUAAAGCUCUGACAUUCCGUCAUGUGUUAAUCAGUGUUAGGUGUUUACAGAAAUGUGUGUGUUCUUACCUGGAGGGGUUCUGGGUGGAAUAAGGUGUUGUGAGGGAUAACGACGCUCCAUCAUGGUAAGCAUCCAGGAGCGGCUGUCUGUCCCCCGAGUCGUAUAUACUGUAGUACCUGCAAUACAGUAACUUCAGUAAGUCUUUUUGUGUUUGUCCCUGUGACAGACCCUUUUCUGGAACUGAAGUACCAAAAAUAGCAGUGCUGGUUAAUCAGUCACUAGGCUGGGUCACAUUAAGGCUGGAGAAGCACUGAUCAACUGACUGUUGUAAGAAGAUCCUCUACAUAAAAGGCUAAAUACUCACUGUUGCAAGAACCGAAGGAUGAGAGCCUUGAUUUCAUCUGAGCCAAAACAGCUGCCCUGCAUCAUCAAUUGGAAAAACAUUUGUCAGGUACAUAACAGAGACAGCGACUGGCUUAUGACUGCAGCUUAAACAUACACUUCUGAAGUGUGUUACUAAAGAAAUGAAUGUCUUGGAGAGCGCCUACUAACUGUCAUGUACACUACAAGACAUCAUCAAUAAAUCAGUUUGAAUAGAAGUAUACAAUCAAUGAGGUAAAAUAAGUAACCUUGCAGGGGGGGAUAGUGGUGGGCGUUUCCACAUCGAAUCCAAUGGGUGGGGGGAGGUCAUCACCAUCCUAAAAAGAAAACACACGAGAGAAAAUAUGAGUGGACUGCAUCCACAUACUAUAAGUUUAUUACACAAAAUGUAUUAUUUCAAGAAAACACACAAUAACUUAUUAAAAAAAAGGAAACAAGGCUGUGUUAUUAGAGGCAUAAAAAUAGAAACAAACAAAGGAAGGCGCUCUUUUUUUCAGCGAUAGUAGGGUGCCUUAACUAUCAAAUGCUGUUUGUGUGCUGUUCUGAUGACUGCUUCUAUUUAGGCUUAAACGGAUCAAAUUGGUGCAAUGUCAACAAAUCCUUAAAAACAAGAUAUUUAACCUGGGCCCAUGUCAUUUUCAUGCUGUACUUUUUUUUGACUUACCAGUUUGAGAAUCCGGGGGAACCUCUGCCGCACAGCACUGGUACAGGAACAAAAAUCAGGAGCGGUAAAGUUAUCAUCACAAACCACCCCAUACACACACACAGAUAAAUCAUGCUCUUUAAUGUAGAUACCACUGUCAGUCAUGUCAUUUUGCGCUCUUCAGUUGAUGUAAUUUAAAAAAAAAAAAAAAA
Molecule: long non-coding RNA, 2345 nt
Organism: Morone saxatilis (striped sea-bass)
Lineage: Eukaryota; Metazoa; Chordata; Actinopteri; Moronidae
Exons: 3
Source: RefSeq, a predicted model, not a curated record